This 468-nucleotide ribosomal RNA is filed under the name uncultured bacterium. RNAcentral describes it as "partial 16S ribosomal RNA". It matches the Rfam family "Bacterial small subunit ribosomal RNA", at positions 28 to 507 of the family's 1533-position model. The record is from RNAcentral.
GACGAACGCUGGCGGCGUGCUUAACACAUGCAAGUCGAACGGAAAGGCCCUGCUUUUGUGGGGUGCUCGAGUGGCGAACGGGUGAGUAACACGUGAGUAACCUGCCCUUGACUUUGGGAUAACUUCAGGAAACUGGGGCUAAUACCGGAUAGGAGCUCCUGCUGCAUGGGGGGGGUUGGAAAGUUUCGGCGGUUGGGGAUGGACCCGCGGCUUAUCAGCUUGUUGGGGGGGUAGUGGCUUACCAAGGCUUUGACGGGUAGCCGGCCUGAGAGGGUGACCGGCCACAUUGGGACUGAGAUACGGCCCAGACUCCUACGGGAGGCAGCAGUGGGGAAUAUUGCACAAUGGGCGGAAGCCUGAUGCAGCGACGCCGCGUGCGGGAUGACGGCCUUCGGGUUGUAAACCGCUUUCGCCUGUGACGAAGCGUGAGUGACGGUAAUGGGUAAAGAAGCACCGGCUAACUACGUG